GAGGGUAGGCCCCUCGAAGCCGCUUUUCAGGAGGAGGCUUCAAACCGCCUUAAGCUGCCUUGGUAAAGAGCCUUGGUAGUGAGCGUUAAGGAAAAGGCAUCAUGAGAUGUCAGGU
Aliiroseovarius crassostreae is the source of this 115-nucleotide non-coding RNA. The record is from Rfam. NCBI's taxonomy places the organism in Bacteria, Pseudomonadati, Pseudomonadota, Alphaproteobacteria, Rhodobacterales, Paracoccaceae.